CAGCUCCCUCGCCGGGCGGGUGGCGGCGCCCCGGCUGCCGGCCGGCGAGGUCCGGAUCGGCGGCUUCGGGGGGCCGGAGGGGCUGGC
This 87-nucleotide transfer RNA is filed under the name Streptomyces omiyaensis. Its description in RNAcentral is "tRNA-Gly". The record is from RNAcentral. Lineage: Bacteria; Bacillati; Actinomycetota; Actinomycetes; Kitasatosporales; Streptomycetaceae.